Arabidopsis lyrata subsp. lyrata is the source of this 1283-nucleotide long non-coding RNA. RefSeq lists it as uncharacterized. The transcript is spliced from 5 exons. The record is from RefSeq and is a predicted model, not a curated record. NCBI's taxonomy places the organism in Eukaryota, Viridiplantae, Streptophyta, Magnoliopsida, Brassicales, Brassicaceae.
CGCCAUUUGACUCAGAUCCAAAAAUUUUAAACGCCAAAGCCCGAAAAAUUAAAACCCUUCGCUUUACUAUAACAUGAAACAUAUCUCCAAACAAAAAAAAAUCUCCCAAAUCGAAGAAAGAGAUUUGUUCGUGUGAGGUCUCUUCGACUCCGCCAUAGCCUCCACCGUGAAGCUCGUCGUCGGCCUCCACCGUGAAGCUCGUCGCCGGCCUCAAUUCGUGUUCACCGUGAAGCUCGUCGCCGGCCUCAUUUCGUGUUCACCGUGAAGAUCGUCGCCGGCUUGGGUUCGUGUCCACCGUGAAGCUCGUCGCCAUCACGAAACAAAGUAAAGAUUUGAAUAUAUCUAUUCUCCUGUUCUGAAAAUUGGAGACUUGUUGAUUGAGGCCAGUCAAUUGAAAAUUGGAGACUUGUUGAUUGAGGCCAGUCAAAAAUUGGGGUUACUGCUUGAUCAGCUUAGGCACCCUGCAGCAAAAUCUCUAAAUAGCUCGACGAUUAUUGUUCUCAUCAACAGCCUUUAAUCAGUUGCAAAGAAACGUCAUGCAUACUGUGGAAAAAUUCUACAUGUUCUACUGAGCUUGAAUCCCCUAAGCUUUCUCAAGGAGUGCAUGCUGCAGCAGCAAAUCUUGCCUUGAAGACUAUAUUUCUCUCAUGCUUGAAAUGUACACAUCCCACUGCCCGAAAAAUUAAAACCCUUUGCAAUUUUCUGUAUGUUGUCAAUUUUCUCCAGUGGAAGGACCGGUUGAUCAGUGCUCCUAAAGAGAUAGAAGGUGGAGGUCGGGCAGCCAAAGCAAAAGAUCUCUUUUACAAGACUAACGGAAGCACUCAAGAUAAAGACAGUGUAGAGGAUACCAAGGUGAAGGAGGAGCACGAUCAUGAAAGGAAGGUGUUUAGGAGAAGGAGCUUUCAUGUUGUUGCAGGAGCUUAAGUGUUGUGUUGGUCUUAAACAUGACGUGACUCAACAGUUCUUCAUGAAGUGUCAUCACUCAAAAAUCUUUUGUUUUAUGUAGCCUACCGACAUGAAUGCUAAUAGGAACAAUUGUUCAGAUCGAAGUUUUAUCUGUCCUGCUUUUGAUGAGGAGGCGAAAUAGAUAGAAGAGAAGAAAUUGAAUAGAUCGAAGUGUCUCUGUCCUUAUGAUGUUAGUAUAAGACUUGUAGGAUGUUAUGUAAGACUUGUCCUUAUGAUGUUAGUAUAAGAUUUGUAGGAUGUUAUGUACGACUUGUUUGGCUAAUUGGUUAAUGUAAUUUUACUUGUUGAUGAUUUAUAUAAUAUAAAAAUUAUAUUAA